Molecule: long non-coding RNA, 404 nt
Organism: Rhinolophus ferrumequinum (greater horseshoe bat)
Lineage: Eukaryota; Metazoa; Chordata; Mammalia; Chiroptera; Rhinolophidae
Exons: 3
Source: RefSeq, a predicted model, not a curated record
AGAAAGAAGGAGCAAUGGGGUUAAGUACAUAGAAGGAAUGGUGGUGAAGAGCCUCGGGUGUCAGGUCAGAGUCAUCUGGAAUCAUAGAUCAUCACAGUUGGAGACCAUCUGGGACAACGAUGAUCCCUCAUGCUAAUAAAGAAGCAAAGAAAAACUGAAAGUUUUGACAAGAGAGCAAGAAAUACGUCUUCCCCUUGACAGGAACAAUGUGUGACAUGAAAGACCUCAGGUGCUGUGCUGGAUUUUGACAUUCCUUCAGAAGAAAGCACCUCCUGCCUGUUCUGUUCAAUCCCAGUCCAGGAGAUUAGGACACAUCACGCAUGGAGAGAAGACCGUGUAAGGACACAGUGAGAAGACCGUCGUCCGCAAGCCAAGGAGAGAAGCCUCAGAAAAAAACCUGCCAG